RNAcentral lists this ribosomal RNA (207 nucleotides) under uncultured bacterium. RNAcentral describes it as "partial 16S ribosomal RNA". It matches the Rfam family "Bacterial small subunit ribosomal RNA", at positions 568 to 774 of the family's 1533-position model. The record is from RNAcentral.
CUCGUAGGCGGUUCGUCGCGUCCGGUGUGAAAGUCCAUCGCUUAACGGUGGAUCCGCGCCGGGUACGGGCAGGCUAGAAUGCGGUAGGGGAGACUGGAAUUCCCGGUGUAACGGUGGAAUGUGUAGAUAUCGGGAAGAACACCAAUGGCGAAGGCAGGUCUCUGGGCCGUUAUUGACGCUGAGGAGCGAAAGCGUGGGGAGCGAACA